RNAcentral lists this ribosomal RNA (834 nucleotides) under uncultured bacterium. Its description in RNAcentral is "bacterial SSU rRNA". It matches the Rfam family "Bacterial small subunit ribosomal RNA", at positions 8 to 889 of the family's 1533-position model. The record is from RNAcentral.
AGAGUUUGAUCAUGGCUCAGAACGUACGCUGGCGGCACGCCUAACACAUGCAAGUCGAACGAAGUAGCAAUACUUAGUGGCAGACGGGUGAGUAACAUGUAGGUAUCUGCCCUUUGGCCUGGAAUAACACGAGGAAACUUGUGCUAAUACCGGAUAAGUCUUUACGGAGAAAGCUUUAUGCACCAUUGGAUGAGCCUGCACUUGAUUAGUUUGUUGGUGGGGUAAUGGCCUACCAAGACUGUGAUCAAUAGCUGAUUUGAGAGGAUGAUCAGCCACAUUGGGACUGAGACACGGCCCAAACUCCUACGGGAGGCAGCAGUGGGGAAUCUUGCACAAUGGAGGAAACUCUGAUGCAGCGAUGCCGCGUGAGUGAAGAAGGCCUUUGGGUUGUAAAGCUCUUUCGUCGGGGAAGAAAAUGACUGUACCCGAAUAAGAAGGUCCGGCUAACUUCGUGCCAGCAGCCGCGGUAAUACGAAGGGACCUAGCGUAGUUCGGAAUUACUGGGCUUAAAGAGUUCGUAGGUGGUUGAAAAAGUUGGUGGUGAAAUCCCAGAGCUUAACUCUGGAACUGCCAUCAAAACUUUUCAGCUAGAGUAUGAUAGAGGAAAGCAGAAUUUCUAGUGUAGAGGUGAAAUUCGUAGAUAUUAGAAAGAAUACCAAUUGCGAAGGCAGCUUUCUGGAUCAUUACUGACACUGAGGAACGAAAGCAUGGGUAGCGAAGAGGAUUAGAUACCCUCGUAGUCCAUGCCGUAAACGAUGUGUGUUAGACGUUGGAAAUUUAUUUUUCAGUGUCGCAGCGAAAGCGAUAAACACACCGCCUGGGGAGUACGACCGC